UGAGGAUUCAGAGAGGGUAGCUCUUCAAUGUGUCCCAGAAAAGGUGACAGCUAAGUUGAAUUCUAAAGGUGGUGCACAAGACAGAGAAGCGAAGCGAAGCAGAAGGAGGAAUAUGGACAGGAGUUUGGAGCAGAUCCUUUUUCACGUGAUGAAAUGGAAUCUCAGAAAAGGAAGCACUUGGACAAGAGGCCAGAAUAAGUGACAAGGUGUGAUUAGCACCAAGCUGUUGGAACCCCAAGCACAUAUUCCACAUCCGUGGUCUUAUUUGGUCUUCACAAGGAGCCUCACUGCUGCCCACUCCCUGCUCUGCGCUGGGUAGGGAUGUAGAAGGGGAGGGCUCCAUGACCAAAGACACAGAGAUAAAGAAGUUGCCACACAGUCCAAUCAGUGGGAGGGCCAAGACCCAGCUUGGUCUCAGUGUUUGGACCCCCAGCCAGGGACCCCUGUAACCAAGAGUUAUUACUUAAUCUGAGAGCACCCACACUCUCAUCAGUCGCCGUUUGCGGACUCCGUUCCAGUGGUGAGUAACAGAGAACCGCUGUUGCUAAGCUGCAAGGUUACAAAUAGCAUUGCAACUUCCUUGAUUGUCGUUCAUCAACAAGGGAGAAUGGAAGUCAUUAAAAAGGCCAGUCGGGGACUUGUAAUA
Molecule: long non-coding RNA, 646 nt
Organism: Canis lupus familiaris (dog)
Lineage: Eukaryota; Metazoa; Chordata; Mammalia; Carnivora; Canidae
Exons: 3
Source: RefSeq, a predicted model, not a curated record